This 2958-nucleotide long non-coding RNA is filed under the name Sus scrofa (pig). RNAcentral describes it as "lncRNA (ENSSSCG00065003700.1)". The record is from RNAcentral. Lineage: Eukaryota; Metazoa; Chordata; Mammalia; Artiodactyla; Suidae.
UCCGAUUCAACCCCUAGCCUGGGAACCUCCAUAUGCCGCGGGAGCGGCCCAAGAAAUAGCAACAACAACAACAACAACAACAAAAAAAAGACAAAAAAAAAAAAGAAAAAGCAGAAAUCUCAACUGAUACUGCAGAACACAAUAAAACACAGUAAUAUGAGCAAUUACAUGCCAAAAAAUUUGACAACUUAGAAGAAAUGGACAACUUUCUAGAAAUAUAUAGCCCACCGAAACAGAAUCAAGAAUAGAUCAUUUGAACAGAUCAAUCACUAGAAAUGAAACUGAGUAUGCAAUUAAGAAAAAAAAACUCCCUACAAACAAAAGUCCAGUACCAGAUAGUUUCACACACAAAUUCUACCAAACAUACAAAGAGGAACUUAUACCCAUCCUUCUUAAACUUUUCCAAAAGACUGAGAAGGAACACUCCCAAAGACAUUCAAUGAAGCCACCAUCACCCUAAUAACAAAACCAGACGAAGAUAUUGCCAAAAAAAGAAAACUAUAGGCCAAUAUGUUUGAUGAAUAUAGAUGCAAAAUUCUUAAUGAAAUUUUAGCCAACUGAAUCCAACAACACAUAAAAAAGAUCAUACACAAUGCCCAAGUGAUAUUCAUUCCAAAUUCACAAAGAUGGUUCAACAUAUGCAAAUCAAUCAAUGUAGUAUAACAUAUUAACAAAAGGAAAGUCAAAGACCACAUGAUUAUCUCAAUAGAUGCUGAAAAGCAUUUCACAAAAUCCAACAUCCAUUCAAGAUAAAAAAAACUCUUAACAAAGUGGGUAUAGAGGGAACAUAGCUCAACAUAGUAAAAGCCAUUCAUGACAAACCCACAGCCCAUAUAAUACUCAGUGACAAGGAUGCCUCCACUAACUACUAUUUUUCAACAUAGUAUUGGAACCCCUAGUCACAGCAAUCAGGCCAAAAAAAGAAAAGAAAAGAAAAGAAAAAUAUCCAAAUUGCAAGAGAAGAGGUAAAACUCGCUAAACGCAGAUGACAUGAUACUAUAUAUAGAAAACCCUGAGGACUCCACACAAAAACUACUCAAACUGAAAAAUGAAUUCAGCACAGUAGCAGGAUACAAGACUAACAUUCAGGAUUCAGUUGCAUUUCUGUACACUAAUAAUGAACUAUUAGAAAAGGAAUAUAAAAUCAAUUUGGGAGUUCCUGCUGUGGCUUAGCAAGUUAAGAACCUAACAUAGUAUCUGUGAGGAUGCAAGUUCAAUCCCAGGCCUUGCUCUGUGGGUCAAAAAUACAGUAUUGCCACAAGCUGCAGAAUAGGUUGCAAAUGUGGCUCAGAUCUGGUGUUGCCAUGGCUGUGGUGUAGGCCUGCAGUUACAGCUCCUAUUCAAGCCCUAGCCUGGGAAUUUCCAUAUGGCACAGGUCAAGCCAAAAAAAUUAAAAAAUUAAAAAUACCUUUUUAAAUUGUACCCCCAAAACCCACAAAAAUACCUAGGAGUAAACCUGACUGAGGAGGUGAAAGACUUAUACCCAGAGAGCUAUAAAAACAUAAGCAAGAAAAUCAAAAAGAUUCAAAGAAAUGAAAAGAUAUCUCACGCUCUUGCACUGAAAGAAUAUUCUUAAAAUGGCCAUACUACCCAAAGCAUUCUACAGAUUUAUGUGAUCCCUAUCAAAUUACCAAUGACAUUUUUCACAGAACUAGAACAAAUAUUCCAAAAACUUAUAUGGAACUAAAAAAGACCAAGAAUUGCCAAAGCAAUCCUGAGGGGAAAAAAAAAACAAAGCAGUAAGCAAAACUCUCCCAGACUUGAGACAAUAUUACAAAGCUACAGUCAUCAAGACAGUGUGAAACUGGUGCAACAACAGACAUACGGAUCAAUGGAACAGAACAGAGAGUCCAGAAUAAACUCAGACACUUACGGUCAAUUAAUCUUCAACAAAGGACGCAGGAAUACAAAAUGGGAAAAAGCCUCCUCAACAAUUGGUGCUGUCAAAACUGGAUGGCUACAUGUAAAUCAAUGGAACUAGAACACACCCUCACACCAUGUACGAAAUUAACUCAAAAUGGAUUAAAGACUUAAAUACUAGACACCACACCAUUAAACCCCUAGAAGAGAACAUAGGAAAAUCAUUCUCUGACAUAAACCAUACCAGUGUUUUCUUAGGUCAUUCUCCCAAAUCAAUACGAAUAAAAAUAAAAAUAAGCAAAUGGGACCUAAUCGAAAACUUGCAAGCUUCUGCACAGCAAAGGAAACCAUAAAAAAAGUAAAAAGACAAUCUAUGGAUCAGGAGAAAAUAGUUGCAAACAAUGCAAGUGAAUAGGGCUUUACCUCCAAAAUAUACAAACAACUCAUUCAACUCAUCAAAAAAAAACAAACAAUGGAAUCAAAAAAUAGGCAGAAGACCUAAAUAGACAUUUCUCCAAAGAAGACAUAUGGAAGGCCAGUAAGAACAUGAAAAAACACUCAAUAUCACUAAUUAUUAGAGAAAUGCAAAUCAAAACUACAAUGAGGUACCACCACACACCAGUCAGAAUGGCCAUGAUUAAUAAGUCUACAAAUAAGCAAUGCUAGAGAGGGUGUGGAGAAAAGGAAACCCUCCUAAACUGUUGGUGGGAAUGUAAAUUGGUACAAGCACUAUGGAAAAUAUACAGAGGUUCCUCAGAAAAUUAAAUAUAUGAUCCAGCAAUCCCACUCCUGGGCAUACAUCCGUACAAAACUAUAAUGCGAAAAGAUAUUGCAUGGAGUUCCCAUAUGGCUCAGCAGUAAUGAACCCAACUAGCAUCCAUGAGGAUGCAGGUACAGUCCCUGGCCUUGCUCAGUGGGUUAAGGAGCUGGCAUUGCCAUGAGCUAUGGUGUAGGUCACAGAUACAGCUCAGGUCCUGCAUGGCUGUGGCUGUGGCUGUGGCUGGCAGCUGCAGCUCCAAUUCAACCCCUAGCCCGGGAACUUCCAUAUCCCAAAGUGAGGACCUAAAAAGCAACAACAAAAAAAAAAAAAAAAAAAAA